CUCCACUCCGUCUGCCCAGUGUUCAGACUACCUGUUCAGGACUACGAGAUUGUACAGUAGUCUGCACAUUGGUUAGGCUGUGCUGGGAUAC
RNAcentral lists this microRNA precursor (91 nucleotides) under Buteo japonicus. RNAcentral describes it as "miRNA (ENSBJAG00000013083.1)". The stretch from base 5 to 84 matches the Rfam family "mir-199 microRNA precursor family". From Rfam's summary of the family: This family consists of the microRNA (miRNA) precursor mir-199 which appears to be specific to humans. Animal miRNAs are transcribed as ~70nt precursors and subsequently processed by the Dicer enzyme to give a ~22nt product. In this case the mature sequence comes from the 3' arm of the precursor. Lineage: Eukaryota; Metazoa; Chordata; Aves; Accipitriformes; Accipitridae. The record is from RNAcentral.